This 501-nucleotide ribosomal RNA is filed under the name uncultured bacterium. Its description in RNAcentral is "partial 16S ribosomal RNA". It matches the Rfam family "Bacterial small subunit ribosomal RNA", at positions 29 to 523 of the family's 1533-position model. The record is from RNAcentral.
AUUGAGCGCUGGCGGCAUGCCUUACACAUGCAAGUCGAACGGCAGCACGGGUGCUUGCACCUGGUGGCGAGUGGCGAACGGGUGAGUAAUACAUCGGAACGUACCUUAUCGUGGGGGAUAACGCAGCGAAAGCUGUGCUAAUACCGCAUACGCCCUGAGGGGGAAAGCGGGGGAUCGCAAGACCUCGCGCGAUUAGAGCGGCCGAUGCCUGAUUAGCUAGUUGGUGGGGUAAAAGCCCACCAAGGCGACGAUCGGUAGCUGGUCUGAGAGGACGAUCAGCCACACUGGGACUGAGACACGGCCCAGACUCCUACGGGAGGCAGCAGUGGGGAAUUUUGGGCAAUGGGGGCAACCCUGAUCCAGCAAUGCCGCGUGAGUGAAGAAGGCCUUCGGGUUGUAAAGCUCUUUUGUCAGGGAAGAAACACCGGCUCUAACACAGUCCGGGAAUGACGGUACCUGAAGAAUAAGCACCGGCUAACUACGUGCCAGCCGCCGCCGUAA